AACGAGACCUUAACCUGCUAAAUAGCCCGUAUUGCUUUGGCAGUACGCUGGCUUCUUAGAGGGACUAUCCGCUCAAGCGGAUGGAAGUUUGAGGCAAUAACAGGUCUGUGAUGCCCUUAGAUGUUCUGGGCCGCACGCGCGUUACACUGACGGAGCCAGCGAGUACUUCCUUGACAGAGAUGUCCGGGUAAUCUUGUGAAACUCU
RNAcentral lists this ribosomal RNA (205 nucleotides) under Microdochium sp. Its description in RNAcentral is "partial small subunit ribosomal RNA". It matches the Rfam family "Eukaryotic small subunit ribosomal RNA", at positions 1334 to 1563 of the family's 1831-position model. The record is from RNAcentral. Lineage: Eukaryota; Fungi; Ascomycota; Sordariomycetes; Xylariales; Microdochiaceae.